GACGAACGCUGGCGGCGUGCUUAACACAUGCAAGUCGAACGGAAAGGCCCUGCUUUUGUGGGGUGCUCGAGUGGCGAACGGGUGAGUAACACGUGAGUAACCUGCCCUUGAUUUUGGGAUAACUUCAGGAAACUGGGGCUAAUACCGUAUAGGAGCCCCUGUUGCAUGGUGGGGGUUGGAAAGUCUCGGCGGGCGGGGAUGGACGCGCGGCUUAUCAGCUUGUUGGUGGGGUAGUGGCUUACCAAGGCUGUGACGGGUAGCCGGCAUGAGAGGGUGACCGGCGACAAUGGUACUGAGGGACGGACCAGAGGGCUACGGGGGGCAGCGGUGGGGAGUCUGACACAGUGGGCGGAAGCCUGAUGAAGAGACGCCGCGGGCGGGAUGACGGCUUUCGGGUUGUAAACCGCUUUCGCCUGUGACGAAGCGUGAGUGACGGUAAUGGAUAAAGAAGCACCGGCUAACUACGUG
This 468-nucleotide ribosomal RNA is filed under the name uncultured bacterium. Its description in RNAcentral is "partial 16S ribosomal RNA". It matches the Rfam family "Bacterial small subunit ribosomal RNA", at positions 28 to 507 of the family's 1533-position model. The record is from RNAcentral.